Molecule: long non-coding RNA, 1883 nt
Organism: Triticum aestivum (bread wheat)
Lineage: Eukaryota; Viridiplantae; Streptophyta; Magnoliopsida; Poales; Poaceae
Exons: 2
Source: RefSeq, a predicted model, not a curated record
CUCCCACAUCCUCUAGGCGUACGGCGCAAUCUCUAUCGACCCGAGAACCUUCCUCGCCACCGCCCCCUCCCAGCGGCUAGCUAAGCGCCGAUUUUCCCUCGAUCUGGACGCAACCCGCAACUCUGCGACGCCUACAGCGCCCUCUACUGCCUUCUUCUCCGCCUCUGCCCUACCUCUCCCCAUCCAACCCUACUCCCGCCGUGUUGAGCUCGCCCACAGGAUGCCGCCGCAACUAUGCACGAGAUGCUCGAUUUUUCUGGCCUUCAUGUACGAUGGUGCCAAGAUCCCGGGUCUGGUGGAGCUCUCCCAAAUCCCAGGGUGCAGAAACUGAAAUACUAGAGUAGCACAAGAGUAAUAAAGAGGGAGUUUUGUUACACAUAAAGACGAAAAAGUGUAAGUUGAAGGAGAUUUUGCUGCCCUUUUCCAUCUGACCUGCUUCGUCAGUGACCAAGGUAUGGGUGUUGAUGAAUUGUAAGGUCUCCUCUACAUCUCACCAACUCUUGGUUCAUCUUUGUUAGGCAAUGCUUAAUGGUGCAAUUGGCUUUGAUAUCAUGCAUGCCAUAAUUUUGUGUUAAACUGUAUUUUAGUACCCCAAAAUUUACUAAUGAUCUUAAUAGACUGGUUUCGGAAUGUACUACUAUUAGCCAACAAUGCCACUUCUAUUGGUGAGUUGACAUCAAAACUGGAAGCUUCAGGCUUCAGGUUAUUAUAUGGUCCUAUUAAAUGCCUAUCAGUUUUCUUUCAUAGGUACAUCUCCAUCUCUUAGUGUACAUUCCGUAUAAAAUGUAUUGCAAGUGUUGUCAAUUCUUUGUUCAUUUGUUUAAGUAUACUGCCAACCCUUGGCUCUUUUUUUGCCCUUUUGCCUAAAUAUACUAAGUACAAACCAUUUACAUAUGUUGUAGUAAUUGUUCGACGCCCUUUUAGGUAAGAAGAUAGAUGAAGCGAGAGCUCUGGAGCUAAUAAUGUUCAUACAGAUGUUUUGAGAACACAACUAAAAGAAGGUUAAACUAUCUUGACAAAUAUUUCUUUUCUUCAUGGUGGCGUUGUAUACAUAUUCAAGUUUAGUGUGCAUAUUUAGCGAAGUAUUCGGCCAAACACUUCUACUUCGUUCUUGCUUGUCUUGGAACAAUUUAUAAGUGUGUGCCCAAAGCUAUAGUGUGUAUGUUGUACAUAUUGAAUUUUGUCAUUUAUCUUCACAUUUAAGUCCGGUGUGCCUAAUAACACGAAGUGAGCAAUGUUGAAUCCUUGAAUGAGAAGUAACAAAAUAGCUUGUUUUGUUUUCUGUUGCUCCAAGGAGAGGAGCAGUUUUGUUGAAAUAGUUAUUCUAAUCUGGGCAAGUUAACCGUGCAUUGUAUCGGGUUUUUGCCCGGUUAUGAUUAACCGGGCAAAUCUCUUCUUAAUGAAAUACAGGAACCCCCUCUUGAGGCGUUCUAAAAAAAGUUGAUAUGUAUUGGCGAUCGUUGGACAGGCUGGUUAUUUGGGAGACCUGGCUUGAGUGGAACCGCCGCAUAUUUCACAAUUCAGAGUUCGUUGCAGAGCUUGCACGCCUUGCCAUUGAGGAAGCUGAUGUUGAAAGGAGGCUGAUGCCAGGCCUGGCCUUGAGGGGGGCGAGUGGGGCAGCCACCCCGGGCCCGAAACCGAGGGGCCGCAGAUGUGCUCUGUCUCCUGUAAUAGGCCUCGCGAGAAGUGCACGGCACAUCAUUUACGAUGGUAGUCUAGCUUAGUGGACCAAGGGCCAUCGUGUGUCAUCUCUUCUGCUUGUCAUGCAUUUUUUUACAAAAAAAAAAUCCAGUGCCAAUUAUUCAUGUACUACAUGGAACCGUAUCUGACCUUGUAUAUACUCUGUUAUGUAUGCAAGUUCUAUAUCAAGUACUUCAAUUUCA